Molecule: ribosomal RNA, 453 nt
Filed under: uncultured bacterium
Lineage: Bacteria
Description: SSU rRNA
Rfam family: Bacterial small subunit ribosomal RNA
Source: RNAcentral
AGGGCGAACGCUGGCGGCAUGCCUAACACAUGCAAGUCGCACGGUCGGGGGGAGACUUCCGGCAGUGGCGGACGGGUGAGUAACGCGUAGGGAUCUAUCCUUGGAUGGGGGACAACCGCGGGAAACCGCGGCUAAUACCGCAUGAUGCCUGAGGGCCAAAGCUCGCGAGAGCGUCUGGGGAGGAGCCUGCGUCCGAUUAGCUAGUUGGUGGGGUAACGGCCCACCAAGGCGACGAUCGGUAGCUGGUCUGAGAGGAUGAUCAGCCACACUGGGACUGAGACACGGCCCAGACUCCUACGGGAGGCAGCAGUGGGGAAUAUUGGACAAUGGGCGCAAGCCUGAUCCAGCAAUGCCGCGUGGGUGAAGAAGGUCUUCGGAUUGUAAAGCCCUUUCGGCGGGACGAUGAUGACGGUACCCGCAGAGAAGCCCGGCUAACUUCGCGCCAGCAGCCGC